This 514-nucleotide ribosomal RNA is filed under the name uncultured bacterium. RNAcentral's name for it is "bacterial SSU rRNA". It matches the Rfam family "Bacterial small subunit ribosomal RNA", at positions 16 to 518 of the family's 1533-position model. The record is from RNAcentral.
AUCAUGGCUCAGGAUGAACGCUAGCUACAGGCUUAACACAUGCGAAGUCGGCGGGCAGCAUGGUCUUAGCUUGCUAAGGACUGAGUGGCGACCGGCGCACGGGUGAGUACGCGUAUCCAACCUUCCCUUAGGUAGGACAUAGCCCGGCGAAAGUCGGAUUAAUACCCUAUGUUCUUCGUAGAUGGCAUCUGAGACGAAGCAAAGGUUAGCGCUAAGGGAUGGGGAUGCGUCUGAUUAGGCAGUCGGCGGGGUAACGGCCCACCGAGCCUUCGAUCAGUAGGGGUUCUGAGAGGAAGGUCCCCCACAUUGGAACUGAGACACGGUCCAAACUCCUACGGGAGGCAGCAGUGAGGAAUAUUGGUCAAUGGGCGAGAGCCUGAACCAGCCAAGUAGCGUGCAGGACGACGGCCCUACGGGUUGUAAACUGCUUUUAUGCGGGGAUAAAGUGCCCUACGUGUAGGGUAUUGCAGGUACCGCGUGAAUAAGGACCGGCUAAUUCCGUGCCAGCAGCAGC